This 492-nucleotide ribosomal RNA is filed under the name uncultured bacterium. Its description in RNAcentral is "partial 16S ribosomal RNA". It matches the Rfam family "Bacterial small subunit ribosomal RNA", at positions 29 to 507 of the family's 1533-position model. The record is from RNAcentral.
AGUGAACGCUGGCGGUAGGCCUAACACAUGCAAGUCGAACGGCAGCACAGUAAGAGCUUGCUCUUACGGGUGGCGAGUGGCGGACGGGUGAGGAAUACAUCGGAAUCUACUUUUUCGUGGGGGACAACGUAGGGAAACUUACGCUAAUACCGCAUACGACCUACGGGUGAAAGCAGGGGAUCUUCGGACCUUGCGCGAUUGAAUGAGCCGAUGUCGGAUUAGCUAGUUGGCGGGGUAAAGGCCCACCAAGGCGACGAUCCGUAGCUGGUCUGAGAGGAUGAUCAGCCACACUGGAACUGAGACACGGUCCAGACUCCUACGGGAGGCGGCAGUGGGGAAUAUUGGACAAUGGGCGCAGGCCUGAUCCAGCCAUACCGCGUGGGUGAGGAAGGCCUUCGGGUUGUAAAGCCCUUUUGUUGGGAAAGAAAAGCAGCAGGUUAAUACCCCGCUGUUCUGACGGUACCCAAAGAAUAAGCACCGGCUAACUUCGUG